This 547-nucleotide ribosomal RNA is filed under the name Phomopsis asparagi. RNAcentral describes it as "eukaryotic LSU rRNA". The stretch from base 174 to 327 matches the Rfam family "5.8S ribosomal RNA". The record is from RNAcentral. Lineage: Eukaryota; Fungi; Ascomycota; Sordariomycetes; Diaporthales; Diaporthaceae.
GCUGCAGCGCUUCGGCGCACCCAGAACCCUUUGUGAACUUAUACCUAUUGUUGCCUCGGCGCAGGCCGGCCUCUUCACUGAGGCCCCCUGGAAACAGGGAGCAGCCCGCCGGCGGCCAACCAAACUCUUGUUUCUAUAGUGAAUCUCUGAGUAAAAAAACAUAAAUGAAUCAAAACUUUCAACAACGGAUCUCUUGGUUCUGGCAUCGAUGAAGAACGCAGCGAAAUGCGAUAAGUAAUGUGAAUUGCAGAAUUCAGUGAAUCAUCGAAUCUUUGAACGCACAUUGCGCCCUCUGGUAUUCCGGAGGGCAUGCCUGUUCGAGCGUCAUUUCAACCCUCAAGCCUGGCUUGGUGAUGGGGCACUGCCUGUAAUAGGGCAGGCCCUGAAAUCUAGUGGCGAGCUCGCCAGGACCCCGAGCGUAGUAGUUAUAUCUCGCUCUGGAAGGCCCUGGCGGUGCCCUGCCGUUAAACCCCCAACUUCUGAAAAUUUGACCUCGGAUCAGGUAGGAAUACCCGCUGAACUUAAGCAUAUCAAUAAGCCGGAGGAA